Phrynosoma platyrhinos (Desert horned lizard) is the source of this 72-nucleotide non-coding RNA. The record is from the annotation of a GenBank genome assembly. NCBI's taxonomy places the organism in Eukaryota, Metazoa, Chordata, Lepidosauria, Squamata, Phrynosomatidae.
GCCAGCAUGGUGUAAUGGUUGGAGCAUUGGGCUAUGACUCUAGAGACCGGGGUUCGAAUCCCGGCUCAGCCA